CCUAUGCGAGGCAGCAGUGGGGAAUAUUGCACAAUGGGCGCAAGCCUGAUGCAGCCAUGUCGCGUGUGUGAAGAAGGCCUUCGGGUUGUAAAGCACUUUCAGCGGGGAGGAAGGCGGUGAGGUUAAUAACCUCAUCGAUUGACGUUACCCGCAGAAGAAGCACCGGCUAACUCCGUGCCAGCAGCCGCGGUAAUACGGAGGGUGCAAGCGUUAAUCGGAAUUACUGGGCGUAAAGCGCACGCAGGCGGUCUGUCAAGUCGGAUGUGAAAUCCCCGGGCUCAACCUGGGAACUGCAUUCGAAACUGGCAGGCUAGAGUCUUGUAGAGGGGGGUAGAAUUCCAGGUGUAGCGGUGAAAUGCGUAGAGACCUGGAGGAAUACCGGUGGCGAAGGCGGCCCCCUGGACAAAGACUGACGCUCAGGUGCGAAAGCGUGGGGAGCAAACAGGAUUAGAUACCCUAGUAGUC
RNAcentral lists this ribosomal RNA (465 nucleotides) under uncultured Klebsiella sp. RNAcentral describes it as "bacterial SSU rRNA". It matches the Rfam family "Bacterial small subunit ribosomal RNA", at positions 338 to 795 of the family's 1533-position model. Lineage: Bacteria; Pseudomonadati; Pseudomonadota; Gammaproteobacteria; Enterobacterales; Enterobacteriaceae. The record is from RNAcentral.